Molecule: small nucleolar RNA, 104 nt
Organism: Cercocebus atys (sooty mangabey)
Lineage: Eukaryota; Metazoa; Chordata; Mammalia; Primates; Cercopithecidae
Source: Ensembl
AUCCUUUUGUAGUUCAUGAACAUGAUGACUGGGUGUUCACGCGCAUGUGUGAGAUGCGCCACCCUUGAACCUUGUUACAAUGUCAGCGUAUUACCCGUCUGACC